Molecule: long non-coding RNA, 263 nt
Organism: Felis catus (domestic cat)
Lineage: Eukaryota; Metazoa; Chordata; Mammalia; Carnivora; Felidae
Exons: 2
Source: RefSeq, a predicted model, not a curated record
GGCUGUCAGAAUUCCGUAGACUGGGAGGCUUAAACAAAAGAGAUUUGUUUCUCAUGGUUCUGGAGGCUGGGAAGUCUGAGAUCAAAGUGCCAGUAAGGUUCCUUUGAAAUUUGUCAGAUGUUCUUCUGGAUUGUGUUUUUCUUCAAACAAAGCAAGAAUAAGACUUGAAAACAAAUUAUGUCAGCAGUGUGCCAAGUCUUGUUGCAAGAGAAAGAGACCACGGGUUAACAAUUUAAAAAUAAAGAUUUUGCUAUUUAAAAACA